CGACUGUAUGAAGUCGGAAUCGCUAGUAAUCCCGGAUCAGCAUGCCGGGGUGAAUACGUUCCCGGGCCUUGUACACACCGCCCGUCACACCACGAAAGCUGGUUCUACCCGAAGUCGCCGAGCUAACCCUCGGGAGGCAGGCGCCGACGGUAGGGCUGGUGAUUGGGGUGAAGUCGUAACAAGGUAGCCGUAGGGGAACCUGCGGCUGGAUCACCUCCUUUAA
Molecule: ribosomal RNA, 223 nt
Filed under: Oceanidesulfovibrio marinus
Lineage: Bacteria; Pseudomonadati; Thermodesulfobacteriota; Desulfovibrionia; Desulfovibrionales; Desulfovibrionaceae
Description: Desulfovibrio marinus partial 16S ribosomal RNA
Rfam family: Bacterial small subunit ribosomal RNA
Source: RNAcentral